This is a long non-coding RNA of Cucurbita maxima (winter squash), 390 nucleotides long. RefSeq lists it as uncharacterized. Lineage: Eukaryota; Viridiplantae; Streptophyta; Magnoliopsida; Cucurbitales; Cucurbitaceae. The transcript is spliced from 2 exons. The record is from RefSeq and is a predicted model, not a curated record.
CAUGAGUGUUUGAACCAACUUGCAUGCACCUGACUCUACAAUAUUUAAGAUAUGAAAUCUUAGGUCGAUGGCCACCAAGGGUUUAAACCAAUUUGCUCCAAGCCUUUUACUAUUAUCAUGUUCCUCAUUGACCACUAGGACAAUCCAUGGUGGCGAAUCCAUCUUGUAUACUCUCUGUUGAAUAUUUCUGCCAUAGAAGGUGUUUCCAAUAUGUCGGCAACCACUCAUACAAACCAGGGUUACUGCUUGUUUUCUGUCAUUGAUUUCUAAUGGGUUUGCCUGAAUUUUGUCCAAGUUAGUGGUCAGUUCCUUGUUGAGGGAUCUUUAUAAUGUUGUUAGCUGAUCAAGCAUUGUUUUGUAGAUCUCGAGUUUCAUCUGAUUUUACUUGUU